This 492-nucleotide ribosomal RNA is filed under the name uncultured bacterium. Its description in RNAcentral is "partial 16S ribosomal RNA". It matches the Rfam family "Bacterial small subunit ribosomal RNA", at positions 29 to 507 of the family's 1533-position model. The record is from RNAcentral.
AGUGAACGCUGGCGGUAGGCCUAACACAUGCAAGUCGAACGGCAGCACAGUAAGAGCUUGCUCUUACGGGUGGCGAGUGGCGGACGGGUGAGGAAUACAUCGGAAUCUACUUUUUCGUGGGGGAUAACGUAGGGAAACUUACGCUAAUACCGCAUACGACCUACGGGUGAAAGCAGGGGAUCUUCGGACCUUGCGCGAUUGAAUGAGCCGAUGUCGGAUUAGCUAGUUGGCGGGGUAAAGGCCCACCAAGGCGACGAUCCGUAGCUGGUCUGAGAGGAUGAUCAGCCACACUGGAACUGAGACACGGUCCAGACUCCUACGGGAGGCAGCAGUGGGGAAUAUUGGACAAUGGGCGCAAGCCUGAUCCAGCCAUGCCGCGUGGGUGAAGAAGGCCUUCGGGUUGUAAAGCCCUCUUGUUGGGAAAGAAAAGCAGCAGGUUAAUACCCCGCUGUUCUGACGGUACCCAAAGAAUAAGCACCGGCUAACUUCGUG